GGUAUUUAGGGUAAUCGCUAUAGCAAUAUAGAGGAAAGUCCAUGCUCACACAGUCUGAGACGACUGUAGUGUUCGUGCUUGAUGAAAUCAUAAGUCAAGGCAAAUAAUUGACGGCAACGAAAUAAUCUAAGUCGAGAGAUAAGAUUAGAAUAGUUUGAAAGUGCCACAGUGACGUAGCUUUUGUGGAAACACAAAAGGUGGAACGCGGUAAACCCCUCGAGUGAGCAAUCCAAAUUUGGUAGGAGCACUUGUUAAGCGGAAGUCAACGUAUUAACGAGGAGAUGAGUCAUGUGCUCAUCUCAGACAGAUGAUUACCACCGGAGUACAAGUGUAACUAGUGCACGUAGCAGUACGAUGGUACAGAACAUGGCUUAUAUAAAUA
RNAcentral lists this RNase P RNA (382 nucleotides) under Staphylococcus pettenkoferi VCU012. RNAcentral describes it as "Bacterial RNase P class B". It matches the Rfam family "Bacterial RNase P class B". Rfam says of the family: Ribonuclease P (RNase P) is a ubiquitous endoribonuclease, found in archaea, bacteria and eukarya as well as chloroplasts and mitochondria. Its best characterised activity is the generation of mature 5'-ends of tRNAs by cleaving the 5'-leader elements of precursor-tRNAs. The record is from RNAcentral. Lineage: Bacteria; Bacillati; Bacillota; Bacilli; Caryophanales; Staphylococcaceae.